RNAcentral lists this transfer RNA (76 nucleotides) under Candidatus Eiseniibacteriota bacterium. RNAcentral's name for it is "tRNA-Cys". It matches the Rfam family "tRNA". Rfam says of the family: Transfer RNA (tRNA) molecules are approximately 80 nucleotides in length. Their secondary structure includes four short double-helical elements and three loops (D, anti-codon, and T loops). The record is from RNAcentral. Lineage: Bacteria; Candidatus Eiseniibacteriota.
GGCGCCAUACCCAAGUGGCUAAGGGGACGGUCUGCAAAACCGUUAUUCGGCGGUUCGAAUCCGCCUGGCGCCUCCA